RNAcentral lists this ribosomal RNA (253 nucleotides) under uncultured bacterium. RNAcentral's name for it is "partial 16S ribosomal RNA". It matches the Rfam family "Bacterial small subunit ribosomal RNA", at positions 524 to 776 of the family's 1533-position model. The record is from RNAcentral.
UACGGGGGGGGCAAGCGUUGUUCGGAAUUACUGGGCGUAAAGGGCUCGUAGGUGGCCAACUAAGUCAGACGUGAAAUCCCUCAGCUUAACUGGGGAACUGCGUCUGAUACUGGAUGUCUCGAGACCGGGAGAGGUGAGUGGAAUUCCGAGUGUAGAGGUGAAAUUCGUAGAUAUUCGGAAGAACACCAGUGGCGAAGGCGGCUCACUGGCCCGGUUCUGACGCUGAGGUGCGAAAGCGUGGGGAGCAAACAGG